This 344-nucleotide ribosomal RNA is filed under the name uncultured bacterium. RNAcentral describes it as "bacterial SSU rRNA". It matches the Rfam family "Bacterial small subunit ribosomal RNA", at positions 8 to 334 of the family's 1533-position model. The record is from RNAcentral.
AGGGUUUGAUUCUGGCUCAGGAUGAACGCUGGCGGCGUGCUUAACACAUGCAAGUCGAGCGAAGCAGUUAAGUUGAUUUCUUCGGAUUGAUUCUUAACUGACUGAGCGGCGGACGGGUGAGUAACGCGUGGGUGACCUGCCCCAUACCGGGGGAUAACAGCUGGAAACGGCUGCUAAUACCGCAUAAGCGCACAGAGCUGCAUGGCUCGGUGUGAAAAACUCCGGUGGUAUGGGAUGGGCCCGCGUCUGAUUAGGCAGUUGGCGGGGUAACGGCCCACCAAACCGACGAUCAGUAGCCGGCCUGAGAGGGCGACCGGCCACAUUGGGACUGAGACACGGCCCAA